This is a long non-coding RNA of Tympanuchus pallidicinctus (lesser prairie-chicken), 1356 nucleotides long. RefSeq lists it as uncharacterized. Lineage: Eukaryota; Metazoa; Chordata; Aves; Galliformes; Phasianidae. The record is from RefSeq and is a predicted model, not a curated record. The transcript has 3 exons.
AUGAACACUAACAGGGUUCUAUUUGAGUAAAAGUUUCCUCAAUUUUUUUUUCUAAUACAUCUUAGCUGUUUUGGAGAUGAUAAUUGCUGCACAGGUGGACUCAGCCAUAGAAGAAACUCCACUAGAAGUAAGACAAUAUUUGUGCCAUGGCCUAGACACAAUAGAUAGCCCAUUUUAUUUAGAUCUAAUUCAAGCUUGAAGUAUGACCUCGAUAUUACCUUACAGUCCCUCCUUGCAAGGUGUACACGUGGCUGGCAGUGCUGAUCUGCAAGCAUCCUGGCAUCUGUAAGGAGAGGCAGGAGCUCUACAGCACUGCUGAGGCCCCUGUAACACUGCUCUCUCUUGUGCCACUCCUGUCCAAAGAGUACCAGUAUUAGUGGGCGCCUUUUGACAACAUACAAGAUGUUCCCACUGAUUUAAAUACAGUGGCUGAAAAUACAAGAGACUGCAUGAGACAAAUAGAAAACUCCUCUAGAAUUUUCCAAAUCUUGGCCCUUGGUCCAGCCUUACGUGUGAGGAUGGCCACAGGAAGAUUAUAUUGUUCAGACAUUCUCCAUGUUUCUGGGUCCGGUACUGUACAUCACACAGGCAGUUCAGGUGCACAAAUCAUGUAGUGUAAGAUGAUCAUAAUUUGCUAUUCUCUUUAAUAGUUCCCCUUGAGAGUUUAAUUACCAAAAUUAUCUUUAAGACCCCAAUGCAUGAGGUGUCUCAGUCGCAUGAUCACAAUGAUUAAGGGCUGCUCCACUGGCUGCUCCAGCUUUUCUCCUCUCAGUAUUGUAUUCCAAUGUUUCAGCUGGAUAACUAGGGACUUUUUAUCCUAGAGUAUGUAGCCACAGUUUUGCCACCGCAUUGCAUUUUGUUUAUUUGGUAGCUAUUACUGAAACACUUCACAGAGGUUAUAAAAGCACAGAGUAUCAAAAUGACAGAUUUGUGUUUAGAAGAAUAUGCAAUGAAGGCCAAAGACAACUGGCAACAAAGAAAAUAGAACAAACUAACCUGACCUUAAGAAUAAACAACAGUAGAUAAUAUGCAAAAGGUUAACUGGAAUUUCAGGUACUGCGAUUAAAGAGAUAGUGACAUUGCUUUUGUAAUGCUCUGAAAAGGUUAAGUUAUAGGCGUGUUAUUUAUAAGUUAAACAGUUGAAGAAAUCAGUUGUUUUGCCCUUCUGUUCUUAAGACACCUUACUAAAAAUUUUUGCUUAAACCAGAGUUUGAAAGCAUACAAAUAUUACAUCACUGAAAACAAUAGCACUUCGAUGUUCUAUAGAAAACAAACGUAAAAGGCUCUUAUGAUAAACUUUAUGAGAAAAAAAAACCAAAACAAAACAGAAUUCGGUUGGUGAAACUCAUCUGAAAA